AGCAGCCGCGGUAAUUCCAGCUCCAAUGGCGUAUAUUAAAGUUGUUGCAGUUAAAAAGCUCGUAGUUGAAUUUCGGGGUCAGCAAGUUGGUCGUGCCACCGGUAUGCACUGGCUUUGCUGAUUCCUCCUUCUUGUAGAACCGUAAUGCCAUUAAGUUGGUGUUGCGGGGAAACAGGACUGUUACUUUGAAAAAAUUAGAGUGUUUAAAGCAGGCUAAGGCUUGAAUACAUUAGCAUGGAAUAAUGAAAUAGGACGACGAUCCUAUUUUGUUGGUUUCUAGGAUUGACGUAAUGAUUAAUAGGGAUAGUUGGGGGCAUUAGUAUUCAAUUGUCAGAGGUGAAAUUCUUGGAUUUAUUGAAGACUGACUACUGCGAAAGCAUUUGCCAAGGAUGUUUUCAUUAAUCAAGAACGAAGGUUAGGGGAUCGAAGACGAUCAGAUACCGUCGUAGUCUUAACCAUAAACUAUGCCGACUAGGGAUCGGAUGAUGUUAAUUUUAUAAUGACUCA
Molecule: ribosomal RNA, 507 nt
Filed under: uncultured organism
Description: SSU rRNA
Rfam family: Eukaryotic small subunit ribosomal RNA
Source: RNAcentral